ACUCAAAUGAAUUGACGGGGACCCGCACAAGCGGUGGAGCAUGUGGUUUAAUUCGACGCAACGCGAAGAACCUUACCAAGGCAUGACAUACCGAUGACAGAUGUGGAAACACAUCCUCCUUCGGGCAUCGGAUACAGGUGGUGCAUGGUUGUCGUCAGCUCGUGUCGUGAGAUGUUGGGUUAAGUCCCGCAACGAGCGCAACCCUUACUUUCAGUAGCCAUCGGGUUAAGCCGGGUACACUGUAGGGACUGCCGUGGAUAACACGGAGGAAGGUGGGGACGAGGUCAAAUCAUCAUGCCCCUUAAGUCUUGGGCAACACACGUGCUACAAUGGGCGCAACAGAGUGAAGCGAACCGGCGACGGGGAGCAAACCACAAAAAAGCGUCCUCAGUUCGGAUAGCAGUCUGCAACCCGACUGCUUGAAGUCGGAAUCGCUAGUAAUCGCGAAUCAGCAUGUCGCGGUGAAUACGUUCCCGGGUCUUGUACACACCGCCCGU
RNAcentral lists this ribosomal RNA (497 nucleotides) under uncultured bacterium. Its description in RNAcentral is "bacterial SSU rRNA". It matches the Rfam family "Bacterial small subunit ribosomal RNA", at positions 899 to 1397 of the family's 1533-position model. The record is from RNAcentral.